Molecule: ribosomal RNA, 265 nt
Filed under: uncultured Staphylococcus sp.
Lineage: Bacteria; Bacillati; Bacillota; Bacilli; Caryophanales; Staphylococcaceae
Description: partial 16S ribosomal RNA
Rfam family: Bacterial small subunit ribosomal RNA
Source: RNAcentral
CGGCGGACGGGUGAGUAACACGUGGAUAACCUACCUAUAAGACUGGGAUAACUUGGGAAACCGGAGCUAAUACCGGAUAAUAUAUUGAACCGCAUGGUUCAAUAGUGAAAGACGGUUUUGCUGUCACUUAUAGAUGGAUCCGCGCCGCAUUAGCUAGUUGGUAAGGUAACGGCUUACCAAGGCAACGAUGCGUAGCCGACCUGAGAGGGUGAUCGGCCACACUGGAACUGAGACACGGUCCAGACUCCUACGGGAGGCAGCAGGG